UGGGGAAUUUUGGACAAUGGGCGAAAGCCUGAUCCAGCAAUGCCGCGUGUGUGAAGAAGGCCUUCGGGUUGUAAAGCACUUUUGUCCGGAAAGAAAUCCUUGGCUCUAAUACAGUCGGGGGAUGACGGUACCGGAAGAAUAAGCACCGGCUAACUACGUGCCAGCAGCCGCGGUAAUACGUAGGGUGCAAGCGUUAAUCGGAAUUACUGGGCGUAAAGCGUGCGCAGGCGGUUUGCUAAGACCGAUGUGAAAUCCCCGGGCUCAACCUGGGAACUGCAUUGGUGACUGGCAGGCUAGAGUAUGGCAGAGGGGGGUAGAAUUCCACGUGUAGCAGUGAAAUGCGUAGAGAUGUGGAGGAAUACCGAUGGCGAAGGCAGCCCCCCUGGGCCAAUACUGACGCUCAUGCACGAAAGCGUGGGGGAGCAAAACAGGAUUAGAUACCCUGGUAGUCCACGCCCCUAAAACGAUGUCAACUAGUUGUUGGGGAUUCAUUUCCUUAGUAACGUAGCUAACGCGUGAAGUUUGACCGCCUGGGGAGUACGGUCGCAAGAUUAAAA
RNAcentral lists this ribosomal RNA (557 nucleotides) under uncultured bacterium. RNAcentral describes it as "partial 16S ribosomal RNA". It matches the Rfam family "Bacterial small subunit ribosomal RNA", at positions 355 to 899 of the family's 1533-position model. The record is from RNAcentral.